CGCGUAGGCGGCCUGGUAAGUCUGGAGUGAAAGUCCUGCUUUUAAGGUGGGAAUUGCUUUGGAUACUGCUGGGCUUGAGUGCAGGAGAGGUAAGUGGAAUUCCCGGUGUAGCGGUGAAAUGCGUAGAGAUCGGGAGGAACACCAGUGGCGAAGGCGACUUACUGGACUGUAACUGACGCUGAGGCGCGAAAGUGUGGGGAGCAAACAG
Molecule: ribosomal RNA, 208 nt
Filed under: uncultured bacterium
Lineage: Bacteria
Description: partial 16S ribosomal RNA
Rfam family: Bacterial small subunit ribosomal RNA
Source: RNAcentral